UGAGUAGCGUGGAUGGAGAAUAACGUGUGGCUGGAGAAAAAUAUGUUAAAAUGGAUAAGAUAAUAAAAGAUAAGGAUGCUCUAAUUAUGAACCUGCAGGCUCAAUUAUUGUUCGUAAUCAGUCCAUGCAGCGAUGGAACUGAACAAUUGUGGGACUGUAUUUGGGCCAAAAAUGGGUGUGGUACGGAAACCCAGAAAUAGCACGAGUUCAACCUAAAACAUGGAUUAGAAUUUUAGUGGGGGGAUCAAGUCAAGUCUGGAAGUGUUACAGGAUGGAAGAGUCAGCCUGUAGUUGAAAAAACACUGAGCGUGCAUUUCCGUUAAGGUGUGAGGUAAAGUAAUAGAGUAAUGCAAAUUGUCUAAUGAGAAGUACCAUCUUGUGUUAAUGAAUCCGGUACA
Long non-coding RNA from Daphnia carinata, 398 nucleotides. RefSeq lists it as uncharacterized. The transcript has 3 exons. The record is from RefSeq and is a predicted model, not a curated record. NCBI's taxonomy places the organism in Eukaryota, Metazoa, Arthropoda, Branchiopoda, Diplostraca, Daphniidae.